Molecule: ribosomal RNA, 337 nt
Filed under: uncultured bacterium
Lineage: Bacteria
Description: bacterial SSU rRNA
Rfam family: Bacterial small subunit ribosomal RNA
Source: RNAcentral
CGCGUAGGCGGCUUUAUAAGUCGGUUGUGAAAGCCCCGGGCCUCAACCCGGGGAGGCCAACCGAUACUGUGGGGCUUGAGUGCAGGAGAGGGAAGCGGAACUGGCCGGUGUAGCGGUGGAAUGCGUAGAUAUCGGCAGGAACACCCGCGGCGCAGGCGGCUUCCUGGACUGCCCACUGACGCUGAGGCGCGAAAGCCAGGGGAGCGAACGGGGAUUAGAUACCCCGGUAGUCCUGGCCCUAAACGAUGGUCACUAGGUGUCGCGGGUAUCGACCCCUGCGGUGCCGCAGCCAACGCAGUAAGUGACCCGCCUGGGGAGUACGGGCCGCAAGGUUGAA